Molecule: ribosomal RNA, 549 nt
Filed under: uncultured bacterium
Lineage: Bacteria
Description: bacterial SSU rRNA
Rfam family: Bacterial small subunit ribosomal RNA
Source: RNAcentral
AGGGAAUCUUCGGCAAUGGGGGCAACCCUGACCGAGCAACGCCGCGUGAGUGAAGAAGGUUUUCGGAUCGUAAAGCUCUGUUGUAAGUCAAGAACGAGUGUGAGAGUGGAAAAUUCACACUGUGACGGUAGCUUACCAGAAAGGGACGGCUAACUACGUGCCAGCAGCCGCGGUAAUACGUAGGUCCCGAGCGUUGUCCGGAUUUAUUGGGCGUAAAGCGAGCGCAGGCGGUUUGAUAAGUCUGAAGUUAAAGGCUGUGGCUCAACCAUAGUUCGCUUUGGAAACUGUCAAACUUGAGUGCAGAAGGGGAGAGUGGAAUUCCAUGUGUAGCGGUGAAAUGCGUAGAUAUAUGGAGGAACACCGGUGGCGAAAGCGGCUCUCUGGUCUGUAACUGACGCUGAGGCUCGAAAGCGUGGGGAGCGAACAGGAUUAGAUACCCUGGUAGUCCACGCCGUAAACGAUGAGUGCUAGGUGUUGGAUCCUUUCCGGGAUUCAGUGCCGCAGCUAACGCAUUAAGCACUCCGCCUGGGGAGUACGACCGCAAGGUUG